GCUAAAAACUUAGCCUUACCCCUACAAUUAUAUUUACCCUAUUUUACUUACACAAAAUAAAACAUUCUUUAAGCUUAGUAAAGGAGAUAAAAAAGUUUUUUAGAGCUAUAAAAUAAGUACCGCAAGGGAAAAAUGAAAUAAAAAUGAAACAAAAUUCAAGCAUAAUAUAGUAGAGUUUUCCCCUCGUACCUUUUGCAUCAUGAUUCAACUAGUUUAACCACGCAAAAAGAAUUUAAGUUUGACUUCCCGAAACUAAGUGAGCUACUUCAGGGCAGCUAAAUGAGCCAACCCGUCUCUGUUGCAAAAGAGUGGGAUGACCCUUAAGUAGAGGUGAUAAACCUAACGAACUUAGUGAUAGCUGGUUAUUCAGGAAAAGAAUUUUAGUUCAACUUAAAAUUACAUAAAUAAAAUAAAAUAAAAUUUUAAUUUUAAAGCAAUUCAAAUAAGGUACAGCCUAUUUGAAAUAGAAUACAAUCUAAACUAUAGGGUAAAUAUAAAAAAUUAAUGUAAUAAAGUAGGCCUAAAAGCAGCCAACUUUAAAAUAGCGUCAAAGCUUACUUCCAUAAUUUUUUAAUACUAUUAUUUACAAUGAACCCUUUAUUUUUACUGAAUAUUUCUAUAAAGUUAUAGAACCUUUUAUGUUGAAACUAGUAACAAGAAGUUAAACUUCUCCUCAAUAUAAGUAUAAGUCGACUAGGAUAAACCAUCGACAAUUAACGCUUAAAUUAAAUGUAUUAACUCCACAAGAAAAACUUACAUUACCCCACGUUAAUCUUACACCAGAACAUUUAAGGAAAGAUUNAAAAAA
Molecule: ribosomal RNA, 808 nt
Filed under: Engystomops petersi (Peters' dwarf frog)
Lineage: Eukaryota; Metazoa; Chordata; Amphibia; Anura; Leptodactylidae
Description: partial 16S ribosomal RNA
Rfam family: Bacterial large subunit ribosomal RNA (bases 246-362)
Source: RNAcentral